Molecule: ribosomal RNA, 410 nt
Filed under: uncultured beta proteobacterium
Lineage: Bacteria; Pseudomonadati; Pseudomonadota; Betaproteobacteria
Description: bacterial SSU rRNA
Rfam family: Bacterial small subunit ribosomal RNA
Source: RNAcentral
AGUUGGUGAGGUAAAGGCUUACCAAGGCGACGAUCAGUAGCUGGUCUGAGAGGACGACCAGCCACACUGGGACUGAGACACGGCCCAGACUCCUACGGGAGGGAGCAGUGGGGAAUUUUGGACAAUGGGGGAAACCCUGAUCCAGCCAUGCCGCGUGAGUGAAGAAGGCCUUCGGGUUGUAAAGCUCUUUCAGCCGGAACGAAACGGUCACGGCUAAUACCUGUGACUACUGACGGUACCGGAAGAAGAAGCACCGGCUAACUACGUGCCAGCAGCCGCGGUAAUACGUAGGGUGCGAGCGUUAAUCGGAAUUACUGGGCGUAAAGCGUGCGCAGGCGGUUUUGUAAGUCAGAUGUGAAAUCCCCGGGCUUAACCUGGGAACUGCGUUUGAAACUACAAGGCUAGAAGGG